This 335-nucleotide long non-coding RNA is filed under the name Homo sapiens (human). RNAcentral's name for it is "non-protein coding lnc-C1orf105-2:1". Lineage: Eukaryota; Metazoa; Chordata; Mammalia; Primates; Hominidae. The record is from RNAcentral.
GAAGUCCUGUAUAGCCUAUUCAUUUCUUGGAGAUUUAAAAUAUGUAUUAGACUAUUAUAAUUUCUGAGAGGUUCUGAAUAAAAGAAGCUUACUCUUAAAAUCUAGGGAAAAAGGUAUAUAAAACUCUCUGAAUACUUAGAAUCUCUUAAGAUAAUUUAAUCUUUUGUCUGUUAACUAUAUGUCGUCUCAUUUCUAAUUUUGUUUUCUCAUCUUUUAUAUUACAGAAUUCUGUUUUAUUGUCUGAUUCAUUAGAGAAGAAACUCCUAAAUGUAACAAUAACAUAUUUGGUUCUCCACAUUAAUUCUUGACUUUAUAAAAUAUUAUAUUCUUCUUUG